RNAcentral lists this ribosomal RNA (257 nucleotides) under Klebsiella pneumoniae. Its description in RNAcentral is "partial 23S ribosomal RNA". It matches the Rfam family "Bacterial large subunit ribosomal RNA", at positions 2109 to 2365 of the family's 2925-position model. The record is from RNAcentral. Lineage: Bacteria; Pseudomonadati; Pseudomonadota; Gammaproteobacteria; Enterobacterales; Enterobacteriaceae.
GCUUGACACUGAACAUUGAGCCUUGAUGUGUAGGAUAGGUGGGAGGCUUUGAAGCGUGGACGCCAGUCUGCGUGGAGCCAACCUUGAAAUACCACCCUUUAAUGUUUGAUGUUCUAACGUUGGCCCCUUACCGGGGUUGCGGACAGUGUCUGGUGGGUAGUUUGACUGGGGCGGUCUCCUCCCAAAGCGUAACGGAGGAGCACGAAGGUUAGCUAAUCCUGGUCGGACAUCAGGAGGUUAGUGCAAUGGCAUAAGCU